AUCAACACCUCGCUCCUCGCUCUCGGUGCCCGCGCGCCCUUUCCGGCCCCUUCCUCUUUCCUGCAGAAGGGAGUUCCGGAUGCAACAGGAUAUGUUCCUCAGGGAGAUGUCUCUGAUGACCAUCGAGGCAGCCACUGUGAACAGGCCUUCUUCAUCAGCAUUCAUGGACUCUGAUGCAGAUGCAAGUUUCUCUCCCUGGGAUGUUCUCCACUCCAUCUGGGGCUCUGGGUACCAGCCCGCUGAGCUCCCUAUUGUGGCCUGGGAAAGCAGUAGAGGACAACCC
Long non-coding RNA from Ochotona curzoniae (black-lipped pika), 283 nucleotides. RefSeq lists it as uncharacterized. The record is from RefSeq and is a predicted model, not a curated record. NCBI's taxonomy places the organism in Eukaryota, Metazoa, Chordata, Mammalia, Lagomorpha, Ochotonidae. The transcript is spliced from 3 exons.